ACGAACGCUGGCGGCGUGCUUAACCCAUGCAAGUCGAACGAUGAAGCCCAGCUUGCUGGGUGGAAGAGUGGCGAACGGGUGAGUAACACGUGAGUAACCUGCCCUGAACUCUGGGAUAAGCACUGGAAACGGUGUCUAAUACUGGAUACGACCUAUCACCGCAUGGUGUGUGGGGGGAAAGAUUUAUCGGUUCUGGAUGGACUCGCGGCCUAUCAGCUAGAUGGUGAGGUAAUGGCUCACCACGGCGACGACGGGUAGCCGGCCUGAGAGGGUGACCGGCCACACUGGGACUGAGACACGGCCCAGACUCCUACGGGAGGCAGCAGUGGGGAAUAUUGCACAAUGGGCGCAAGCCUGAUGCAGCAACGCCGCGUGAGGGAUGACGGCCUUCGGGUUGUAAACCUCUUUUAGUAGGGAAGAAGCGAAAGUGACGGUACCUGCAGAAAAAGCACCGGCUAACUACGUG
RNAcentral lists this ribosomal RNA (466 nucleotides) under uncultured bacterium. RNAcentral's name for it is "partial 16S ribosomal RNA". It matches the Rfam family "Bacterial small subunit ribosomal RNA", at positions 29 to 507 of the family's 1533-position model. The record is from RNAcentral.